Molecule: ribosomal RNA, 468 nt
Filed under: uncultured bacterium
Lineage: Bacteria
Description: partial 16S ribosomal RNA
Rfam family: Bacterial small subunit ribosomal RNA
Source: RNAcentral
GACGAACGCUGGCGGCGUGCUUAACACAUGCAAGUCGAACGGAAAGGCCCUGCUUUUGUGGGGUGCUCGAGUGGCGAACGGGUGUGUAACACGUGAGUAACCUGCCCUUGACUUUGGGAUAACUUCAGGAAACUGGUGCUAAUACCUAAUAGGUGCUCCUGCUGCAUGGUGGGGGUUGGAAAUUUUCGGCGGUUGGGGAUGGACUCGCGGCUUAUCAGCUUGUUGGUGGGAUAGUGGCUUACCAGGGCUUUGAAGGGUAGCCGGCCUGAGAGGGUGACCAGGCACAUUGGGACUGAGAUACGGCGCAGACUGCUACGGGGGGCAGCAGGGGGGAAUAUUGCACAAUGGGCGGAAGCGUGAUGCAGAAACGCUGGGUUCGGGAUGCAGGCUUUCGGGGUGUAAACCGCUUUAGCCUGUGACGAAGCUGGAGUGACGUUAAUGGGUAAAGAAGCACCGGCUAACUACGUG